Molecule: ribosomal RNA, 254 nt
Filed under: uncultured bacterium
Lineage: Bacteria
Description: partial 16S ribosomal RNA
Rfam family: Bacterial small subunit ribosomal RNA
Source: RNAcentral
UACGUAGGGUGCAAGCGUUAUCCGGAAUUAUUGGGCGUAAAGAGCUCGUAGGCGGUUUGUCGCGUCUGCUGUGAAAACUGGAGGCUCAACCUCCAGCCUGCAGUGGGUACGGGCAAACUAGAGUGCGGUAGGGGAGAUUGGAAUUCCUGGUGUAGCGGUGGAAUGCGCAGAUAUCAGGAGGAACACCAAUGGCGAAGGCAGAUCUCUGGGCCGUAACUGACGCUGAGGAGCGAAAGCAUGGGGGAGCGAACAGG